This 497-nucleotide ribosomal RNA is filed under the name uncultured bacterium. RNAcentral's name for it is "partial 16S ribosomal RNA". It matches the Rfam family "Bacterial small subunit ribosomal RNA", at positions 28 to 507 of the family's 1533-position model. The record is from RNAcentral.
GAUGAACGCUGGCGGCGUGCCUAAUACAUGCAAGUCGAGCGAACAGACGAGGAGCUUGCUCCUCUGACGUUAGCGGCGGACGGGUGAGUCACACGUGGAUAACCUACCUAUAAGACUGGGAUAACUUCGGGAAACCGGAGCUAAUACCGGAUAAUAUAUUGAACCGCAUGGUUCAAUAGUGAAAGACGGUUUUGCUGUCACUUAUAGAUGGAUCCGCGCCGCAUUAGCUAGUUGGUAAGGUAACGGCUUACCAAGGCAACGAUGCGUAGCCGACCUGAGAGGGUGAUCGGCCACACUGGAACUGAGACACGGUCCAGACUCCUACGGGAGGCAGCAGUAGGGAAUCUUCCGCAAUGGGCGAAAGCCUGACGGAGCAACGCCGCGUGAGUGAUGAAGGUCUUCGGAUCGUAAAACUCUGUUAGUAGGGAAGAACAAAUGUGUAAGUAACUAUGCACGUCUUGACGGUACCUAAUCAGAAAGCCACGGCUAACUACGUG